This is a non-coding RNA of Neptuniibacter sp. Phe_28, 74 nucleotides long. Lineage: Bacteria; Pseudomonadati; Pseudomonadota; Gammaproteobacteria; Oceanospirillales; Oceanospirillaceae. The record is from Rfam.
CGGAGUGUAGCGCAGCUUGGUAGCGCAUCUGGUUUGGGACCAGAGGGUCGUAGGUUCGAAUCCUAUCACUCCGA